AAGUAAGAAUAAAUAAAUCUUAUGAGGAACUCAUCUCGAAUUCCUCCUAAGAUAAGGACUUUCCCGUAAACCUGGACAAUCCCGUGUGACAAAAAGAAAUUUGGUCACCUAAGUUAUUAUAAGUGAGUUAUGCGGACUCCCCAGACAACAAAAUUAAACCUAUAACACUAAGUUAAGGCAUACUAAUGUUUAUAAUAA
Long non-coding RNA from Cydia fagiglandana, 198 nucleotides. RefSeq lists it as uncharacterized. The record is from RefSeq and is a predicted model, not a curated record. Lineage: Eukaryota; Metazoa; Arthropoda; Insecta; Lepidoptera; Tortricidae. The transcript is spliced from 2 exons.